UUUGAUUCAUGCUCAGAUUGAACGCUGGCGGCAGGCCUAACACAUGCAAGUCGAGCGGAUGAAGGGAGCUUGCUCCUGGAUUCAGCGGCGGACGGGUGAGUAAUGCCUAGGAAUCUGCCUGGUAGUGGGGGAUAACGUCCGGAAACGGGCGCUAAUACCGCAUACGUCCUGAGGGAGAAAGUGGGGGAUCUUCGGACCUCACGCUAUCAGAUGAGCCUAGGUCGGAUUAGCUAGUUGGUGGGGUAAAGGCCUACCAAGGCGACGAUCCGUAACUGGUCUGAGAGGAUGAUCAGUCACACUGGAACUGAGACACGGUCCAGACUCCUACGGGAGGCAGCAGUGGGGAAUAUUGGACAAUGGGCGAAAGCCUGAUCCAGCCAUGCCGCGUGUGUGAAGAAGGUCUUCGGAUUGUAAAGCACUUUAAGUUGGGAGGAAGGGCAGUAAGUUAAUACCUUGCUGUUUUGACGUACCAACAGAAUAAGCACCGG
RNAcentral lists this ribosomal RNA (488 nucleotides) under Pseudomonas aeruginosa. RNAcentral describes it as "bacterial SSU rRNA". It matches the Rfam family "Bacterial small subunit ribosomal RNA", at positions 12 to 496 of the family's 1533-position model. The record is from RNAcentral. Lineage: Bacteria; Pseudomonadati; Pseudomonadota; Gammaproteobacteria; Pseudomonadales; Pseudomonadaceae.